This 479-nucleotide ribosomal RNA is filed under the name uncultured bacterium. RNAcentral's name for it is "bacterial SSU rRNA". It matches the Rfam family "Bacterial small subunit ribosomal RNA", at positions 28 to 507 of the family's 1533-position model. The record is from RNAcentral.
GAUGAACGCUGGCGGCGUGCCUAACACAUGCAAGUCGAGCGGGAUCUUCCCAAAUGAAACUUCGGUCGAAUGAAGGAAGUGAGAGCGGCGGACGGGUGAGUAACGCGUAGGCAACCUGCCCCUUGCAGAGGGAUAGCCACUGGAAACGGUGAUUAAUACCCGAUAGCAUUCAUUGGCGGCAUCGCUUAUGAAUUAAAGAUUUAUCGGUAACGGAUGAGGAUGCGUACGAUUAGCUAGUUGGCGGGGUAACGGCCCACCAAGGCAACGAUCGUUAGGGGUUCUGAGAGGAAGGUCCCCCACACUGGAACUGAGACACGGUCCAGACUCCUACGGGAGGCAGCAGUGAGGAAUAUUGCACAAUGGGGGAAACCCUGAUGCAGCAACGCCGCGUGAAGGAAGACGGUCUUCGGAUUGUAAACUUUUGUUCUUAGUGAAGAAACAUGACGGUAGCUAAGGAGAAAGCCACGGCUAACUACGUG